UCCAGGAUUCGAAAAAGGGGCCGUUAAGGCCGCAGCCAGCAGCCUGAGCCCUCCGCAACUCCAAAUAUAUAUAUUUUUUGCUUUUGGUUUCGCUCCAUUUUCUAGCCCUAGAAGAAGGAGGCAAAUCUUUUAAAUGUUCUUCCAGAUAAUGUUUGGCAUAUUUAUUUGUAAAUUUGAUCAAAUCUUGUAACAAACUUGUAGUAAAAAAGAGGAAGAAAUAGUCAAUAGGACGGGUAAGGGAGCUAGGGAGGUGCUGAGGACCAGAGAUCUCUUCAAACAAAAAUGGUUUUGGCAUCGUGUAAGGUGGAGAAACACUCACCCAAGGAAGGUCAGCAACAUCCACUUCAUCUUCUUGAAAAUAAAUUUCGGUGUCUGAAGAACUGCUUGAUUCUAAAUCUGAAUCUAGAUCAUAAACCUCAGUACAGGAGUCACUUUCUGAGGACAUUUUACUAAAAAAAUAUUGGUUACAAAAAGAACCAGAAAAAUCUUGCAAUUGACUGGACAGGAAGGAGAAAUGUUUAGCUGUAAUAUGACUUAACGUGAGGCCAGAUAUGGGGAGAGGAAGUGGAGGGGGGAGAUCAUGUGAUGUGACAGAGUACUCACUUGUAAUAUUGAGGUUUUCAAAGUGCUCAGUUAUGACAACUAUACCUGCGUUGUCAGUAGACCUUGGAAGCAUGUUAUGUAACUUGUCACUCACUUCGAAUAUAUCCUGAGUAAGGAGUAUAGCUUGACCCUUGCAGCCAUACUGUCCAAAGCGGCCACUAUAUCUGACAAUUUUUACAAAUGGUAUGAUCCUGGACAGCAACCGUUGCUCAGGCUGGGAGAGUUGAAUAAUUACUUCAGGAAUGGCUCCAGGAUCCAAGCUGUUCCAGUAAGCCUUUGAUGGUGGAGUCUGCUUGCUGCUAUUGACAUGUUUGUUACAGCGGUGGCACAGCAACAAUGUUGUCUUCUGAGCUAAUUCAGCAGGAAGGUAGGGAGCUUUGCUUGUGCUGACUAUAAGUUGUGACCUGAUUUGGGUAUGUUCUCUUGGUGCAUAUUUCACAAAUGCUGUCGCAGUAAGUGUUAAAAGUGUUUGUGAAUGUAGAAAUAUCAGCGUUGUGCUUUAAUAUUCGCAGACGAUCCUUUUCUAGGCAAAUUUUACGUCCUGCAUCUGUUUCAAUUGCGCUUGAUUUGGAUUUAAAAUGACGAUCGUUUUCUAGGCGAACUUCUAAUGGAAGCAAUAAUAUAAUUGUCACGUGGAAAUUGAGGUCUGAUGUGUUAUUUGGAAUAUUUAUGGUAAUGUCCUCAUAGUACAAAUAUUGAGGUCUGAUGUAUUAUUUGGAAUAUUUAUGGUAAUGUCCUCAUAGUACAAAUAUUGAGGUCUGAUGUAUCAUUUGGAAUAUUUAUGGUAAUGUCCUCAUAGUACAAAUAUUGAGAUCUGAUGUAUUAUUUGGAAUAUUUAUGGUAAUGUCCUUAUAGUACAAAUAUUGAUAUCUGAUGUAUUAUUUGGAAUAUUUAUGGUAAUGUCCUCAUAGUACAAAUAUUGAGGUCUGUAUUAUUUGGAAUAUUUAUGGUAAUGUCCUCAUAGUACAAAUAUUGAGAUCUGAUGUAUUAUUUGGAAUAUAUAUGGUAAUGUCCUCAUAGUACAAAUAUUGAUAUCUGAUGUAUUAUUUGGAAUAUUUAUGGUAAUGUUCUCAUAGUACAAAUAUGUUAAUAUGUUCUUUUUUGAAAUCUUCUUCGAUAUUUAUUAUUUUAAUUGUGGGAGACCUACCUUUGGGGAGACUUUAGGAAUUACUUUGAUUUAAGAUGCUCAUUUUCGUUUAUAAAAUUUACGAUUGUGUUUUCAUUUUCUAUUGUGGGAACUUCUAUUGUACAGCCUUUUUAUUAGGAAUAGCGUUGGCUCUAACAAUUUUUAAAUUAGUCAAAGAAAUAUUUUUCUUAAGGAAUUGAACAAUAUUAGUGUUUUCAGGGAGUUUAGAUUCGAUUAAUAUUUUUCCUAUUAAAUUGGGAGAACUUUUGGGUUGGGCUAUGGGAGUUGGUGUAAUCAGGAUAUUAUGGUAAUAUCCUCAUAGUACAAAUAUUGAGGAACUACACUUGUCAUUUAGAAUAGGGGCGUGGAGAUAGGAGUAAGCAGGGACAGGAAAACAGGAAGGGAUCCGUCCGGAAUGGACAGGAAGUUCCUGGAGGAGAUGGAGGUCGAUUUUGGAAGAAAGAGCAGUGUGAAUAGAGGAAAAGAAGCAUGGGAUAGACCUAUUGCAGUUUCGCUGUAAGAAGGAGAGCUUCAUUGUAGGCUAACAAAAGAGUGGAAGCCCUCCUCGGCUUUUUUAAGAUGGUCCGAUGGUCCUGUUGGCACCUGAAACACUUGGGCUUCUGUGCGGUGGAGGGACACUCACUCACACUGUGUUUGUUACCACAGUGGAGGCAUUUGGGAGACGCUGUGCAACCGGGUGUUUUGUGUCUGAGACUGCCGCAUUUACGGCACGGAAAGGUGGCCCUGGUUUUGGCGAGAUAGGAUUGCAUAUCCAAAGAAGAUCCUGGAUUUGUUGUAGAGGAGGGAUGCAUUGAUAGGGCCAACCUCGAAGACAGCGUGUUUUGUAUUGGCACCUGCGUCCAUCGUCCGAACCAAGUUACACUCGUUAUCAGAGUUUUCUAGGCCCGAGAGGAGGUUCUCAGUGAGAGAGCAUUCUGGGGUAUCAGCUUGGAUGUUAAAAACCGUGAAUCUUUGGAGGAAAGUUGGCGGGGGGAUAAGUUUAAGUUUUAACUCAGAAGCUAGGGUAGAGACUUUUGAGAUCAGGUUGGCCAGGUCUUCUUUGUUUUUAGUAGGGUAAUUUUUGAGUUUGUUGCACUUACAUAAAGAAUGGGAACACCAAGGAGCGUAAGGGGAGGCGGGAACCUAUAGGAGUCGGGACCUCUGCAUCCUGAGUUAGGGUGAUGUGAUAAGGGUUGUUGCGGGGGGCAAUGGGGCGGAUAUUGGUUGGCCUAGGGUUAAUCUUAGCUGCAAUGGGUUCAGGUGUGGGCUGGUUAGGGGUGGUAGAGGGUCCACAUUUUAGUAGUAGGGGGGAGGUGAGUAGAGGGAUUUAGUUGGGCGGCUAAAAACAGUGAGGAUGAGAAUUCUAAUUCAUGAAUCCUUCGGGUGUAGGAAUCUUUGAGGGUGGCUAGAAUUUUGUCGAGGUGUGGCAUAACAAAUGCGCCUAGAUUGCUGUCUGUGUCACUGAUAUGGUGACACAGCAUUGUACAGUUGUUGGCCGCCCAAUCAAAUGCCUGAUACAAGGAUUUCGUGUUAGAGGUAAUAGAGUAGGGCAAGGAGGGUGGAGGUGAGGUUAAUGUAAAGUCACGUGGUGACAAAUUAAGGUCCUGUUCUGGGCUUGAGUUUGAUGUGGCUGAUGGGGGAUGGAGAGGGGUGGAAGCACUUACCCCAGGCCGGCUGCUAUGAAUGAGGUCAUCUCCAAUUGUUGGGUCCAGUAGGGAAUCAAACAUUCUGGUGAGGACCUCCUUGUAGGCGGAGUCAGAGUUGGGUGAAGAGGAAUCUUGGGAGGAAGACUGAGAGCCCCCCGGUGAGAAGAGUGUUGAUAUUCUUCCCACACGCGGACAACAAGAAGCAGAGGCAGGGCUAGAUGUUAACACCGAGAGUGAUCGGGAACAGCCCACGGGACAGAGGUAGAGGCCAUGACACAAACUUGGAUGCUUAUCCCCGAGACAUGGAGGGAGAGACUGUGCGUGAAAGACAGCAGCCGUCUGUCGAUGGCCACACCCUACAACCAUCUGCUGCUGACCCCCUGCCAAAAUCUGUCCUGUUUUCCGGGGUCGUCUAUAAAGAGUCCCUGGGGGCCCCACAUGGGCUCUGUCCCUGCCACCAGCUGACCGGCCACUCUUUGGAUCUUUAUUUUGACCUCAACAUUUUUAGUUUUACAUACAAAUAGGGGGUUUAAAUACAAAUAGUAUAUAUACAAAAUAUGGGGUGGUAGUAAAUAGAAAUAGUGUACAUUUUAAUAGAAGGGUAGGAUCUUAUAUGGUAUAGGCUUUAACUAAUUGGAAUAUAUGUGACAUAUACUAAAAGUGUCAUUAUUAUACAGUUUAAAAUAUACAAUAGAAUGUGCCCCCAGGAUGAAGGUUUGUUUGGGGGAAAUGAAAUAACAUGAAUGAUGACCUAACAAACCUAUUAUAAAACCAAAAGAAAUAAUUUGGGCACAAAUUAGUUAAAAUUAUUAUAAAUAUAGGAGUAUAAAAUAGGACAAUAAUAUAAUGAUGACGUCUCAAUAAGAUAUAGAAUCUGAUGAAAGAAAUAUACUUAAGUAGUUUCUGCCCCUAGAGGGGUUUAGGGCACCAUAGGGAUUGUCAUUGUCAAAGGAUGCAUUGCCUGGGGGACUCCGCCUGUACGGCCAUAGAACUCACGCCCCUGAUUCUGGUAAUGGUCGCAUACCAUUCGGUCAGCAAGAAGGGUGCUAUUGCCCUCAUGAGGUCUUGGUGGGAUAAGCCCUCCGUUAGGGCCUCAUUUAUGAUGGGGUUAGUUAGCCCUAGUUUAAGACCCAUUUUCACUUUGUGCCUAUAGUACUCUCCUAUGGAGAGUUGGCCAGUCAGUUUAUAUGACAUGAAGUCACUGAAGGUGACUUCGGAGGUACCAGGGUAGAGGUCUAUCGUCUAUUGAGAGGUCUAUUUUUUUUUAAAUUAAUGUAAUUGAAAUUUAAGAAAGUUUCAAGUAAUAUUUUAGCUGUAUUGUUAUCUAACUUAAAUGUUUUGCAUUUGUUGUGAAUAAUUUGAAUAUGGAGUGUUUUGUCAUUAAUGAAUUCGUUUAUUAAGCUGUGAAUUUUAUUAUUAAGGUCUUCUAAACAUAUCUUAGAGUAAAGAUCUUCAAAAUCAAAUGUAUGAAUUGUUUGAUCUUUGGUAGAUUAUUCGUAAAGAAUUUAAUAAUUAUUAGAAUCGAUGGAUUUAUAAUCAUGUUUGUUAGUUAUUUUAUUUAUUAUGAAUUGAAGUGUUGAAGCUAGUUUCAAAUCUAUGUUUUUUAUGACUGAGUUUUAUUCCUGACGAGAUUGUUCUGAAUGAGAUUGGUGUUUUGCCUUCUUUGCCUUCUGCCUGCAGGAGAAGAAUUGGCUCCGCAUCUCUUGUGGAGAUUUUUUUUUUAAACUUUCUUCCCAGGCUCUCCUUCAACUCUAUAUCUCAACCAAAUCUGUUGAGACUGUAGGGCAAACCCCCUUGGAGCUCGUGGUGGAGUUGGUGUUCUGCCUGAAGAUGGUGAUUUUAUCACCCACCAUGGGCUUGUGACUUGCCCAUAGGCAUGCUGGAGUCUGGCUUGACUACAGGGAAGGGGUGUCUGAGUCCAUCUUGGACUCUGGCUUGGGUUCAAGUCAGCCACAAUGGGACAUGUGGUUCGACCACCAGAAAGCUCAGACCUGCUUGGUAGGGCCAGGUCAUCCAUCACAGGUCAGGUGGCUUGACCACAUGAAGGGGUGUCUGAGUCUAUCUUGGACUCUGGCUUGUUUCUGGCCACCUUUGUCCAUGUUGGAGCACCAAGAAGGAGUUGUCAGAUUAGGACAAAAAUUGGUGUAUGUAAAGAGCAUGUAUGGGUGGAAAAAAACGAUUGAAAUUUCAGAACAAUUUCCUCCCCUUGCCAGAGUGAAAAAUGUGUUUAAUUCUAAAUCAUAUCUGUUCAUAAAAUAUGAUAAAUAUGGUUUAAAGAGUAAAGUAGUAGUAGUAGUGGUAGCAAGAAUACUGGUAGUAAGAGUAGUAGUGGAUUAAGCAUUUGACUAGCAUUUUGAUUGAAAUAUAUCCGUUCUCCAUUCUCAAGAUGCACAGCUAAAUGGAUAACAGCUGGAUGGCGCUGGUGUAAAGGGAAGCUGAGAAGACGCCAAACAGCUUCAUUGCUUCUUAUGUAUCUGGCACACUGAUACAUUCGCACCUCAUUUUAAGGGUCAGGACCUCGACCUUCUCUGCGUAAAUUAAUAAUAGCUUGAUCACUGCCCUUAUUGACAUAUUUGCAAAUAUAUUUUAUUGCCUUAACAGAACUACAGUUCUCAACAUUGAUAUGCGCACAAAGCAUCUUCGAUAGUAAUGGAGAAUAAGGCACCACCCAACGAUUGUCAAUUGUGACCUCUUCGCUUCCACGUAUUUUAACCUUUGCAGUAAAGCCACCUGCUUCAGGUGCGCGUUUCCUAUAUAAAGGAUAACCAUUCUCAUUAGUCUGGGUUUCCAACAAAAAGUUUAGGAUAUUUUUUAAAACAGCUACUAUUCUUCAUGCAGGGGGACACAGGGUUGUACUCACCGCAAGGCCCAUGGAUCAUAUUCUUAACCACAAUGUUAUACAAUAGUGGGUCUUGAAUAGGAUCUGGAAACUCGGCACAUAACAGUGUCUGAGUGGGACAGAGCUUAUUUGCUAGCCAAACUAAUAUGUGCGCAUGAGGAAGUCCCCUUUUCUGCCAUUCAACAGAAUACAUCCACGCAACUGUUGCUCCAUACAAUUGGCCUUUUGUUAGAGCCCCAAUAAAUUUAAGUAAUUUUUGCCGAAAAACGCGAGCUGUGAUAUCAUGCCUAUCCAGCUGUUUUUGUCCUGGUAGCAACGCUGUAGAUAUCUCUUCCCAAGAGGGGUUACUUGUAAAAGUAAUAAAAGAUUUGGACGCCCAAAUUCCGAAAAUAACAAAAAGCAUCCUGCGUAUAUUCUGCCAAAUACCUGGGACUAUUGACAAAACUUGAUGGUAAAAUUAUCCUUUGACCCAAGCUAUUAAGGUCAAUAUUUGCAUCAGUUGACAGGGUAUCGCGCAAAUGAAUAUAAUAACUCUCUGCACUCGUUUCUCUGGUGCAGCGUAAUAUAGCGCAAACGUUCACUUUCUACCUUAGCAUACAUAUCGACCAGGAAUUGAUGAAAGAGCUGGCCAAAUUGAACAAUGACAUUUGGACUAUUUCGUCGAACCAUAAUAAAAUAGCCAUAAAAAUCCAUAGAAGACACUUUACUUGACAAAGGCUGUCUAGUGUUUGGGUCGAUCUGAGGAAUAUGAAAAGAAUAUCCUUCCUGGCCUUUCCAGAAAAUUAAAGGAUAUUGAAGGGCAUCAUAAAAACGAUGAGUGUCGAUAACAUGUUGAAGUACAUUAUCUCGCUGACCUAAAACAAUGUCACGUGAGCCAAACUGAUUACCAGCUAAGACAACCGCAACCUCAUUAGCUGUAGGAGCAUUAUACCGUGUAGGAUGUUGACCAGGAGGUGUCCGAUCUGCAUUUACAACAACUCUGUAUGCAUCACUCAGGAGAUUUUCAAGUGCAGUUUUAAACUGUUGAACCAGUAGAUUGCGCUGGUGCAACAUGCGCUGCAAACCCUGUACGAUAUAACGACGUACUCCCUGUAUUUGCCGACAUCUUCGAUAAGUCUGAAUAUCAUCAUCAUUAUUGUGACAUUAACUUUUAACUUAUUUUCUUCACCUUCAUUCAACUUGAACGUUUUAUAAAUUUUCUGGGCCAAUUGUCCAAUCGAAGCCAUAAAGAUCGCUACUUGGACUUCUUGUGGUUUCUUUUCUAAUUGUACAGCUUUUUCGUACCAUAUAAAUGCUUCUAUCCACUCGUCCCAUGCUUCUUUUGAUGAUUGCUCCAAAGGCUUAGGCGGCUUUAAGAAUUGGUCAGCCAUUUUUACACGAACACUAAAUUAUUUUAAUUAUAUAUAAUUAUAAUAAAAUUUAUAAAUUAUAGUCCUCCUCCACUUGAAAGUGAGCACGCAUCACCCCCAUCAGCAUUUGUUGUAGAGUUUGAAGAAAAAGGUGGAGAAGGAGGAAAGUAGCCAUUUGGCAAAUUGACCGGGCAUAAAGUCAGGACCAUGGGAUUUUUUAGGAUUGAGGGCCCGUAGAGCUAGGUGGAACUCGAGAAUAGAAAAAGGGAAAUCAGGUGAGGGAGGGGAAUAGGGAGGGAGGGAAGGAAGUGAGAUGUGCGGGAAUUAGGAGGAGGCUCUGAAAAGUAGAUGUCCAGGAUGUCCUUGAGGUUAUCAGGAAUUUUCUGUUGAGUAGUGAGUGUUUCUAACCUCCUCGAACAGAACGGGUUGCGCACAGAGAUCCCUCGAGAGAAAUAGCGGUGGAUAGGGCCCCAAGGAUUAUUGGUGAAUGAGGAGCUAAAUUCCCGGAAGUGCCUUCUCUUGGCAUUGAGGAUGGUUCUAAUGUAUUUGUUUCGUAGUCUUUCGUAACCCUCACAGUAGCUUUCGCGGAGAGGAGGAGCGAUGUUUUUCAUCUUCCUGCCAAGUCUCCUUGACAACGUUUUCAGUCUCUGGAGCUCAGGGUUCCACCAGGGGACGGGGGGAGGGAAGGAGGCGAGAGGAGUUUUGGGGGUAAAGGUCUUACCCCUGAACCUUUGUCAAGGCAUUACAUUUUGUAUUAACAAAACUCGUCUCCUUCUGGGAGUUGUCUUCAAAAAGGUACUGGAGGUCCUGGGACUUCUUGGUCAGCUUCUGGGCAUCUUGGCUCUUUCUCAGCUCUGUGGCCCUCUGAUGGGAUUGGGCUUGCACUAGCAUGCUCUUGAGGGUUUUACCCAGGAUAGGGAGAAGUACUAUCGGACGGUUUUGGGAGGUGAAGUCCUCAGCAUUCAAAUUCUUGGGGACCAGCACAACUCUGCCUACUUUCCAGAGCUUGGGGAAAUAGCGUAGAGAAAAGCAUUUGUUGAAGAGUUUGAAGAAAAAGGUGGAGAAGGAGGAAAGUAGCCAUUUGGCAAAUUGACCGGGCAUCAAGUCAGGACCAUGGGAUUUUUUAGGAUUGAGGGCCCGUAGAGCUAGGUGGAACUCGAGAAUAGAAAAAGGGAGAUCAGGUGAGGGAGGGGAAGAGGGAAUAGGGAGGGAGGGAAGGAAGUGAGAUGGGCGGGAUUAGGAGGAGGCUCUGAAAAGUAGACGUUGAUUUGAUAGCUGACAACUCUCGCAUCUGCGUAUAUAUUUCCGGACUUGAGUCCUCAUACCAGGCCAGUAAUAGUCACCCUUUAGCCUUCUCAUAACCUUUUUGACUCCGAAAUGACCACCAGUAGGGAUAUCAUGAUGAUAACUGAUCACUGCUUCCCUAAAACCUGUAGGAACCACCUUCACCCAGGUACCCUUUUCAUUUUUUGUAACAAGGUAUUUAUUUUGUAACCUGUACUCCCUGUUAUUAUACCUUUCUAUGCUACCCGUUUUUGAUUUUGUUAACCUAUUUAGUAAUGGGGCCCACCCUUUCUCUUGAAGCAAACCUUCCCAUAUAAGGGGGGCCGAUGGUCCUUUACCACUGCGGCCACUACCCUCCCAUCUUGUGACAGGUUUGGAUCAUCCUCACACGGGAACCUAAUAAGAAAGUCGGCUACCGUGUUUUCCUUCCCCGGGACAUAAAUGAAUGUAACGUUGAAGUCUUGGAUGAUCUCUGCACACCUAGAUAGUCGAGCGUUCUUAUAAUCAGACCCCUUAUUAUAAGUAAUCGGUGUAUGGUCGGUAUGUACUUCUACCCUACUGCCCGCCAGGAGGUGUUUAAAGGGUUGUAGGGACAACACUACUGCAUAAGCCUCCUUUUCUAUUGUAGAAUAGCGGAUCUCAGGACCUGUCAGUCGCUUUCUAUAAUAAGCAAUUGGCCUCACUGUCCCAUUGACCUCCUGUUGGAGGCAAGCGCCUACCGCUAUUCCACUGGCAUCAGUGUUCAGGAUGAAAGGUAUCCCUAUGGUCGGGUGAAUUAAUAGUGGCUCACAGGUUAGUUAUCCUUCACCAUCUCAAAGGCUGUCUGCUCUACUAUACCCCAAGCAAAUCUCUGUCCCUUUCUUAAUAAGUUGCUCAGAGGAGCCAGGACCCCACCUGCGUUGGGUAUAAAGCGUCGGUAGUAGUUAACCGUACCCAAUAGACUUCUGACUGCCUUGAUGUUAUGAGGUCGUUUCUAAUCCCUGAGAGCGGCGACAUUAUCCCACAUGGGUUUGAUCCCAUUUUGGUCAAUUACAUGACCCAGAUACUCUACCGAGUCCCUGAAGAAACAGCUCUUCCCGUAUUUGGCCUUCAAACCGAACUUACUCAGGCGUUCGAGUACAGCGGCGAGGUCCGCUACAUGCUGCUCGUGAGAGUCGCUGUAGACAAUGACGUCAUCGAUGUACAGGCGAACGCAUUUGAACAACAAGUCACCCAGGACCAUGUUCAUGGCCCACUGAAAGACUUGUGCCGAGUUUUUAGCUCCUUGUGGCAAACGCGUGAAGCGGUAUCUUCCCCAGGGUAGAGAGAAGGUAAAGUAAUCUCUGUCACUCUCCGGGAUGUGAAUCUGGAAGAAUCCAGAAGUCAGGUCUAACGUGCUGAAGACCUUUGCACCCGCGAAUGCGCGCAGAUUGUCUUCAACACGGGGUAUCGGGAACGGGAAGAAUUCAGUUGCCUCAUUGAUCAGACGUAGAUCCAUGGUGAUGCGAACACUACCAUCAGUUUUGGCAACCGGGAAUAGAGGGGAAUUCCACAGAGAGGUACUCCCUUCUAUUAUCCCUACUUCCUCCAGUUCGUCUACUAACGUUUUCACCUUUGAGACUAAUCUGUUUGGGAUCGGAUAUUGCCUCCUAUAUACUGGUUUGCUGGUCAGCAUCCUCAGCUUCGGGGCUGUGAUGGUGGAGCCAUUCCCCAUAUCUUUUAUAUCAUUACAGAAACAAUGGCUGAAAGCCCUGAGAAUAUCUUCGCCCGUGUGGAUUUCGUUUAAGGGUAUCCUGGGUGGUUGAGGAGACAUUUCUAUGGUUUGCAAUGAAGAAAGAAAGGCCGACUUUGUCGGAUCUUCCUUCCUUUCGUAAUCGGAUCUAAUAUUCCCGUCAUAGGUGAGGUGUAGUUUUAGAGCUCGGAAACCUGGUAAUCCAAGUAUGCCAUCAAAUCCUAUUUCCCCCAUGUGGCAAUACUCGAAGGUUGUUCUUACCUCCCUAAUGGGUUUACCAUUCACCAUCGCCCCUAUCUCUAACACCUCACUCCCUAAUGACCUUAAAGAUUUGCCUGUUAUACCCUUAAGGUAAGUUGGUUUGUUUAGUCCCUCAGUGCAUAUUUUUAAAUUAUCGAUAUUUACAAUAUUGGCCUCUGAGCCCGAGUCUAUGAUAAAUUUUAGAGGCCUCUCGCUCAGAGACCUCUCCUUAUUUAAUAUAUAUACAUUUAUGGCAGGUAAACUGGCCGCAAAUCCCCCUCCUGCCUUGAGGCAAGCCGGACCUAGUUUUUUCUUUGUGUCUGCUGGCAGUCCCGGAUGAGGUGCCCUGGCUCGCCACACCUGUAGCACUUGGGUGGUGGUCUCCUUAGGUCUUGUUUCUUAUAGUCCACUCCAGGGUUCUCCUCCCUUUCACAGUUGGGGUCCCUCCUUCCUUGUCUAGGUGGGGAUGGAUUCCGUUGUUGUCCUGGUGGUUGUUGUGCUGGUCUCCUUUGCCAGUUCCUGAAGGGAGCUCCCCUCCUGUUAUCCUCGGUGUUGUCUCCUCCGUAUUCCCUCCUUCCUGCGGGGUGUGAUGGCCACCUUCCUCCCCCGCUAUUUGCACUAUUAUUUGUUUUGUUUCUUUCAAAAAAAUAUAUAAUAUUAGGAUUAUAUGAAUCACACUUGUUAUUUAAAAUUAUAUUUUGAAGUAUUUAAACACAAGAGAGUGGGGUGUGUAUAACAAGUUCUAUAUUUUUGAACUAAUUCAGUAAAAAAUUGUCUUGUACUAUUUGACGUUUUGUAACAAUAAUUGCAUCAAGUAUAAUAGAUAGCUAUUAUGUAAAAAUGUUAUGUGAGUAUGGGUUGUUCCCCUCCAUGAUUUAUUCCAGACAACUCUGAAUUCCAAUCAUCCUCUAGUAUUCUUUCAGUCAGCUCUGAUUGUGGGAUUUUUUUAUAUAAAAAAAAAAUGCGAAUCCAUUGGGCUUUGCCCACGUGGGUUCGGAUCCCAUCCUCGUCGCCAUUUUUUUGUCUUGAAGAUGUAUCCCUCUAGCUAUAAAAAUUAUCAGAACUUAUAAAAAAGUUUAUUUUCCUUCUUUAAAAAUAUUUACAUAGAAGCAAUUUAACAAAACAAAUUUAAUCUCAAAAUUAAACAAUGCUGAUUUACAUAUCUCUCGACAGAAUGUAUUUACUCAAGUCUUUAGUCAAAACCCAAUAAAUAAAUAUAUACACAAUUUAAUUAUUUUUAUAUGCCUGCGUAACUCUAAGUCCAUUUACAUCAGUGGGAUUUUGUCAUAAAGAUAAUGUGAUGACAGCUUUGGCCUGAAACAAGUCUUCUAUAGGUUUUUUUUGUGCUUCUCUGUUUGGUAUUGAGUAAUGGUAACUGUCUGAAAAGGUCUGGUGGCUGCUUGACCAGAUAUUGGGGAAGCUUUUUGAAGUAUCUGUUUUGUUGGGUUAGACCUUGUUGUUGGGUUAGACCUUGUUGUUGUACUUUUUUAGCAAAGUUUCUGAAAAAGCUGGCAACUUUGUAUGUACCAUGGUAUAUCCAGGUCUCUGGAUGGCUUAGUUGCAUUCUGUCGAGGAUGGUGGCCAGUUGGAUUAGAUGUGUUCUGAAGGCUUGUACCGGGUUGUUGACAGUUCCGCUCUCCUGCUUGUUGUUGCUCAUCCUGUUGACUCCUCUGAGAGAAAGUGUAAUUUAGCUGUGUUAUCCAAGUUUCUGAUGUCUUCAGUUCAUAUUCGUGACAACUCUUUUGUUCUCAGAUAGUUGAGCUUCCUUCCGGGCUAAUUGGCCAUCUCAGGCAUGGUCUUCUAGCCCCAUAUUGAGGUCUGAUGUAUUAUUUGGAAUAUUUAUGGUAAUGUCCUCAUAGUACAAAUAUUGAGAUCUGAUGUAUUAUUUGGAAUAUUUAUGGUAAUGUCCUCAUAGUACAAAUAUUGAGAUCUGAUGUAUUAUUUGGAAUAUUUAUGGUAAUGUCCUCAUAGUACAAAUAUUGAGAUCUGAUGUAUUAUUUGGAAUAUUUAUGGUAAUGUCCUCAUAGUACAAAUAUUUAGGUCUGAUGUAUUAUUUGGAAUAUUUAUGGUGAUGUCCUCAUGGGACAAGCUAUGUCCCAGUUAAUGACCUCAGCGCUUUCAAGCCCCAUUUAUUCUAGGGGUGAGACGAAAUAAUUUGUUGGAAUUGAACUUUAUCCUAAACUUUUGGACUAUGUCAAACAACAUUCAACUUGAAAGAA
This is a non-coding RNA of Cordylochernes scorpioides, 13017 nucleotides long. The record is from the annotation of a GenBank genome assembly. Lineage: Eukaryota; Metazoa; Arthropoda; Arachnida; Pseudoscorpiones; Chernetidae.